CUGCGAACGGCUCAUUAGAGCUUAUAUAAAGUUUUCGGCUGCCUUUUAGGCUAUCUUCGACAAAUUGAAGCUAAUACAUGGAAACAUGUCCUUUUCGAAGGGCGCAAUAUUAGAACUACUGGCUUGCCGGCGGUUGAUUUCAAUUAUCGUUUCGAUAUCGGAAGGCGACUUCCGAUGGCCGUAAACUGUGUACGCCCUAUCACCCAGCAGGUUAAUCAUUCGCUAACCAGGGGUAUUACGGGUAACGGAGAACUAGGGUUCGUCUCCGGAGAAGAAGCCUUUGAAAGGCUACUACAUCCAAGGAAGGCAGCAGGCGCGUAACUUAUCCACUACCACAGUGAGAUAGUAACUAGUCUUAACUAUUGACUGAUCUUUUAGGUUAGUCAUGGUCCAUGAGUUGAGCCUAAAUAGCUCUUCGAGGACCAAGUGGAGGGCAAGUCUGGUGCCAGCAGCCGCGGUAAUUCCAGCU
Molecule: ribosomal RNA, 469 nt
Filed under: Rhabditis sp. RA5
Lineage: Eukaryota; Metazoa; Nematoda; Chromadorea; Rhabditida; Rhabditidae
Description: SSU rRNA
Rfam family: Eukaryotic small subunit ribosomal RNA
Source: RNAcentral